GAUCAAAGUGAUGAUCGUGAAAAAGGAUCACGCUUCAAAAAAUGCAAAUUAUUUUGGCCUCACGAUUUGCUUAAGAAUGAGAUAGUCAUUGUUGACAGUCCAGGAAUUGGUGAAUCAAAUGUUUUAGAUGAUGUUGUGAAUGAUUAUCUUCUGACCGCGUUUUGUUUUGUAUAUGUCAUUGACAGCAGUCAUGCAGGGGGAGUUCAAAAUGAUCGGAUACUCAAGCUUUUGGAGAGAGUUAAAGACCAAUCCCUUGAAUGCUUUCUUUGUGAACGUGCUGUGUUCGUCUGCAAUAAAUGGGAC
Dendronephthya gigantea is the source of this 303-nucleotide long non-coding RNA. RefSeq lists it as uncharacterized. The transcript has 3 exons. The record is from RefSeq and is a predicted model, not a curated record. Lineage: Eukaryota; Metazoa; Cnidaria; Anthozoa; Malacalcyonacea; Nephtheidae.